Molecule: ribosomal RNA, 279 nt
Filed under: uncultured bacterium
Lineage: Bacteria
Description: partial 16S ribosomal RNA
Rfam family: Bacterial small subunit ribosomal RNA
Source: RNAcentral
UGCCAGCCGCCGCGGUAAGACGGAGGGUGCAAACGUUGUUCGGAAUCACUGGGCAUAAAGAGCACGUAGGCGGCCCGCUCAGUCAGUUGUGAAAUCCCCCGGCUCAACCGGGGAACCGCAAUUGAUACUGGUGGGCUCGAGGACGGUAGGGGUGAGUGGAACUCCAGGUGGAGCGGUGAAAUGCGUAGAUAUCUGGAGGAACACCGGUGGCGAAAGCGGCUCACUGGACCGUCUCUGACGCUGAGGUGCGAAAGCUAGGGUAGCGAACGGGAUUAGAUA